RNAcentral lists this small RNA (571 nucleotides) under Pongo abelii (Sumatran orangutan). RNAcentral's name for it is "processed transcript". The record is from RNAcentral. Lineage: Eukaryota; Metazoa; Chordata; Mammalia; Primates; Hominidae.
UAUUUUGCUCUGUUGAAAAAUUUAAAGUGGAUUCUCCAGGCUCCAGCCUGAUCUCCUUAUUGUUCCUCUCCCUAACUCAUAUACUUGAUUUUAGCCUCCUCCAACCUAUUGUCAGCAUCUCCGCCCUUCUUGCAACCCUCGAGAGACUGCUAAGCCCUCCAACUUUUUUUAACCUGUCUCAGAGAAGCUGUGUCUGGCCUCUGCUGUAUCCCUUUGCAUCCCUGAGGGCUUGGAAGACCUUGGCACCUUCAUACGCUCUUGCGGUGGAUGUGGGUGUGGUGACAAGGCUGGAUCACCGGAGACAGGCAGAGAGUGGUGUUGGCGUAUGGGACCUAAUGCUAGUACAGGCCGUUGAUGCUCACUGCCAUCAGCUGCAUCCUCCCUAUGGCACUGGUAUCUCAUUCAGUUGCUAAACUUAUAUUAGUUAAUUUCCACUGGCAAGUUUCAGAGAUAUUGGACAGAUACAAGUCCAAUUCUGCUCAACUGCUUGUUGAGGCUCGAGUUCAGCCUAAUCCAUCAAAACAUGUUCCCACAUCCCAUCCCCCUCACCACUGUGCAGUGUGUAUGCAGU